This is a non-coding RNA of Megalopta genalis, 356 nucleotides long. The record is from RefSeq and is a predicted model, not a curated record. NCBI's taxonomy places the organism in Eukaryota, Metazoa, Arthropoda, Insecta, Hymenoptera, Halictidae.
GCGGCAUCGAGUUUACGGGAAUCCGUUCACCAUGGAACAGCUGGAGAAUGAAGAGGAUGAUGAAGGGAGGGCGAGGAUGGAGGCCAGCGGGCGUCUUCCGUGGGUGUAUUCGCGGCUGGCCCAUCGGCGCCGAACUGAAUCAGCAUUCCAGGCCAGAAGCUGUCCGAGCGCGGGAUGAAAGUGCUUUAAAACACUUCCACACGGAGUUCCUCGAAGACGACAACACACGCUCGGAUGUCUCUGCGUUCCCCCGCGCAAAAACUGCAAGUUUCAUCACACCGAAAGUUCAACUGGGUUCAACAUCUGGGUCAUCAGCGACGGGAUUCAAUAAAGGGUCGUUCAAAUUUCGUAGACGA